This 455-nucleotide ribosomal RNA is filed under the name uncultured bacterium. RNAcentral describes it as "bacterial SSU rRNA". It matches the Rfam family "Bacterial small subunit ribosomal RNA", at positions 340 to 786 of the family's 1533-position model. The record is from RNAcentral.
UACGGAAGGCAGCAGUGGGGAAUAUUGCACAAUGGGCGAAAGCCUGAUGCAGCUAUGCCGCGUGUAUGAAGAAGGCCUUAGGGUUGUAAAGUACUUUCAUCGGGGAGGAAAAAACAAAACUAAUAAUUUUAUUUCUUGACGUUACCCGAAAAAGAAGCACCGGCUAACUCCGUGCCAGCAGCCGCGGUAAUACGGAGGGUGCUAGCGUUAAUCAGAAUUACUGGGCGUAAAGAGCACGUAGGUGGUUUUUUUAAGUCAGAUGUGAAAUCCCUGGGCUUAACCUAGGAACUGCAUUUUGAAACUGAAAUACUAGAGUAUCGUAGAGGGAGGUAGAAUUCUAGGUGUAGCGGUGAAAUGCGUAGAUAUCUGGAGGAAUACCUGUGGCGAAAGCGGCCUCCUAAACGAAUACUGACACUGAGGUGCGAAAGCGUGGGGAGCAAACAGGGAUAGAUACC